RNAcentral lists this ribosomal RNA (495 nucleotides) under uncultured Blastocystis sp. Its description in RNAcentral is "SSU rRNA". It matches the Rfam family "Eukaryotic small subunit ribosomal RNA", at positions 462 to 970 of the family's 1831-position model. The record is from RNAcentral. Lineage: Eukaryota; Bigyra; Opalinata; Blastocystidae.
AGGUAGUGACAAUAAAUCACAAUGCGGGACUAUACGUCUUGCAAUUGGAUUGAGAACAAUGUACAACUCUUAUCGAUAAGCCAUUGGAGGGCAAGUCUGGUGCCAGCAGCCGCGGUAAUUCCAGCUCCAAUAGCGUAUAUUAACGUUGUUGCAGUUAAAAAGCUCGUAGUUGAAGUGUGGGUGAUCGCUGUUGUGAGACUUCGGUCUCUCGACAGUAAGUCACCCCCUUCCAGUAUCCAGUAGUGGGUAUUCAGUUACUUACUAUUGUGUGUUGGUCAUUUACUGUGAGAAAAUUAGAGUGUUCAAAGCAGGCGUUUGCUUGAAUAGAUUAGCAUGGAAUAAUAAUUGAAGGCUUUCGUGUUCGAUUUGAUUGGUUUGUUCAUGGAAGCAAGGUUAAAAGGAACAGUUGGGGGUAUUCAUAUUCACUAGUUAGAGGUGAAAUUCUCGGAUUUAUGGAAGAUGAACAAGUGCGAAAGCAUUUACCAAGGAUGUUUU